This 1211-nucleotide ribosomal RNA is filed under the name Ecteinascidia turbinata. RNAcentral's name for it is "SSU rRNA". It matches the Rfam family "Eukaryotic small subunit ribosomal RNA". The record is from RNAcentral. Lineage: Eukaryota; Metazoa; Chordata; Ascidiacea; Phlebobranchia; Perophoridae.
GAGCAACGGCUCGCAUGCAGUCUAAGUACGAGCUCCCGUACAGUGAAACUGCAAAUGGCUCAUUGAAUCAUUUAUGGUUCAUUUGAUCGUACGUGUUACUUGGAUAACUGUGGAAAUGCUAGAGCUAAUACAUGCAUAAAGCGCCGACCUCGCGGGAGGCGUGCGUUUAUCAUACCAAAAACCGACGGGGCUUCGGCUCGUCGCUUUGGUGACUCUGGAUAACUUCGCGGAUCGCACGGUCGAGCACCGGCAACGGAUCAUUCAAGUGUCUGCCCUAUCAACUUUCCUCGGUAGGGUAUCGGCCUACCGAGGUUCUUACGGGUAACGGGGAAUCGGGGUUCGAUUCCGGAGAGGGAGCCUGAGAAACGGCUACCACAUCCAAAGAAGGCAGCAGGCGCGCAAAUUACCCAUUCCCGACGCGGGGAGGUAGUGACGAAAAAUAACAAUACAGGACUCUCAACGAGGCCCUGUAAUUGGAAUGAGUACACUUUAAAACCUUUAACGAGUAUCCAUUGGAGGGCAAGUCUGGUGCCAGCAGCCGCGGUAAUUCCAGCUCCGGAAGUGUAUAUUUAAGUUGCUGCGGUUAAAAAGCUCGUAGUUGGAUUAUGGGCGCAGGCGGCCGGUCCGUCGCAAGGCGUGCACUGGCCGUCCUGGCCCUACCUCCGGUUCCCCGCCGGUGCUCUUGACUGAGUGUCUGCUGCAGCUGGGACGUUUACUUCGAAAAAAUUAGAGUGUUCCUAGCAGGCGGAUCGCCUGAAUAAUGGUGCAUGAAAUAAUGGAAUACGACAUCGGGUCUAUUUUGUUGGUAUUCAUAUCGCGAGGUCAUGAUUCAGUACGCACAGACUGGCGCAGUCGUACUGCUGCCUGUAAUAGGGGAGAGUCAUGGAUCAGCACUCGACGAACGACUGCUAGAAGCAUUCGACAAAGAGUGUUCUCAGUUACUGCAGACGAAACGUCAGAUGUUACGAGUACGUUCACAUACGUCUAGCAUCUGACGAUCGAACGAUGCCGACAUAGCAUACUAGUGACGAUAGAUGGACAAACUGCACCGGCCACAUCCAGCAAACUAACGUCAUCGGUACACGGAACUAGGCUGGCGAGCGGCAGCUUCAUGUAUCCUGAACAGUCUCUUCUGUGAUAUCGGCGACACCUAUGAUCCUAACGUAAAUCAGUCGCACGUAUAAUCGUGCGCUGAACGUGACGUGAAUCGG